Molecule: long non-coding RNA, 455 nt
Filed under: Hordeum vulgare
Lineage: Eukaryota; Viridiplantae; Streptophyta; Magnoliopsida; Poales; Poaceae
Description: long non-coding RNA (HVUL_LNC017349)
Source: RNAcentral
GACGAACCUACCCUGUACAUAUAGAUAACAGACUGUGUUGCAUACAAGAUAUACUACCCUCAAAUCGUCUCUUUUGUUCAUCCUGUUCACGUGAAGAUGAUCGAGUCUUGGAGGCUAGGGUUGUCCUUGCUGCUCCCGGCCUCUCACGGCACCCUUCAGCAAUGGCAGAUAUAGGAGGCUACACGAGAAAAGGCCGUGGUAGCCUGCCACAGAUGGCUGUGAUGGAGGAGGGCAUCGUCAUGGUGAGGGUUAUACACACGUUGCAUCUAUCCAUGGGUAGUUCAAGGUGGUCCAAGUGGUCGGGCAUGCAUCUGUCCAUGGCCAGUUCAAGGUGUUCCAAAGGGGCCGGAGUCCAUGCAGCUCUACGACUGCGUCCUCAUUGACUGUUAAUUGCGGCGCCCUCCACAUCUUCACGAUCGCCACCAGCGCGCUGUCAGUGGAUUGGAGUAGUCCCC